AGUGCGCAUGCGUUUGACGGCGGUGCAGGGCGGGGAGCACAACGCUGCGAAGUGCCGGGCACCCUUUGGGCGGCUCCCGCCGGCGAGCUGGACAGCGGCGCGCGCCAGGCGUGGCUUUCUCGGCCGGUGGGCUAGGAUUGGACGCAACACCAUGGCCGAGCCUCUGAAGGAGGAAGACGGCGAGGACGGCUCUGCGGAGCCCCCCGGGCCCGUGAAGGCCGAACCCGCCCACACCGCUGCCUCUGUAGCGGCCAAGAACCUGGCCCUGCUUAAAGCCCGCUCCUUCGAUGUGACCUUUGACGUGGGCGACGAGUACGAGAUCAUCGAGACCAUAGGCAACGGGGCCUAUGGAGUGGUGUCCUCCGCCCGCCGCCGCCUCACCGGCCAGCAGGUGGCCAUCAAGAAGAUCCCUAAUGCUUUCGAUGUGGUGACCAAUGCCAAGCGGACCCUCAGGGAGCUGAAGAUCCUCAAGCACUUUAAGCACGACAACAUCAUCGCCAUCAAGGACAUCCUGAGGCCCACCGUGCCCUAUGGCGAAUUCAAAUCUGUCCCCUACGGGGUCCCAGGCUACGUGGUCCUGGACCUGAUGGAAAGCGACCUGCACCAGAUCAUCCACUCCUCACAGCCCCUCACACUGGAACACGUGCGCUACUUCCUGUACCAACUGCUGCGGGGCCUGAAGUACAUGCACUCGGCUCAGGUCAUCCACCGUGACCUCAAGCCCUCCAACCUAUUGGUGAAUGAGAACUGUGAGCUCAAGAUUGGUGACUUUGGUAUGGCUCGUGGCCUGUGCACCUCGCCCGCUGAACAUCAGUACUUCAUGACGGAGUAUGUGGCCACGCGCUGGUACCGUGCGCCCGAGCUCAUGCUCUCUUUGCAUGAGUAUACACAGGCUAUUGACCUCUGGUCUGUGGGCUGCAUCUUUGGUGAGAUGCUGGCCCGGCGCCAGCUCUUCCCAGGCAAAAACUAUGUACACCAGCUACAGCUCAUCAUGAUGGUGCUGGGUACCCCAUCACCAGCCGUGAUUCAGGCUGUGGGGGCUGAGAGGGUGCGGGCCUAUAUCCAGAGCUUGCCACCACGCCAGCCUGUGCCCUGGGAGACAGUGUACCCAGGUGCCGACCGCCAGGCCCUAUCACUGCUGGGUCGCAUGCUGCGUUUUGAGCCCAGCGCCCGCAUCUCAGCAGCUGCUGCCCUUCGCCACCCUUUCCUGGCCAAGUACCAUGAUCCUGAUGAUGAGCCUGACUGUGCCCCGCCCUUUGACUUUGCCUUUGACCGCGAAGCCCUCACUCGGGAGCGCAUUAAGGAGGCCAUUGUGGCUGAAAUUGAGGACUUCCAUGCAAGGCGUGAGGGCAUCCGCCAACAGAUCCGCUUCCAGCCUUCUCUACAGCCUGUGGCUAGUGAGCCUGGCUGUCCAGAUGUUGAAAUGCCCAGUCCCUGGGCUCCCAGUGGGGACUGUGCCAUGGAGUCUCCACCACCAGCCCCGCUACCGUGCCCUGGCCCUGCACCUGACACUAUUGAUCUGACCCUGCAGCCACCUCCACCAGCCAGUGAGCCUGCCCCACCAAAGAAAGAGGGUGCCAUCUCAGACAAUACUAAGGCUGCCCUUAAAGCUGCCCUGCUCAAGUCUUUGAGGAGCCGGCUCAGAGAUGGCCCCAGCGCACCCCUGGAGGCUCCUGAACCUCGGAAGCCGGUGACAGCCCAGGAGCGCCAGCGGGAGCGGGAGGAGAAGCGGCGGAGGCGGCAAGAACGAGCCAAGGAGCGGGAGAAACGGCGGCAGGAGCGGGAGCGAAAGGAACGGGGGGCUGGGGCCUCUGGGGGCCCCUCCACUGACCCCUUGGCUGGACUAGUGCUCAGUGACAAUGACAGAAGCCUGUUAGAACGCUGGACUCGAAUGGCCCGGCCCCCAGCCCCAGCCCCCACCUCUGUGCCGGCCCCUGCCCCAGCGCCAACGCCAACCCCAGCCCAACCUACCAGUCCUCCUCCUGGCCCUGUAGCCCAGCCCACUGGCCCGCAACCACAACCUGCGGGCUCUACCUCUGGCCCUGUACCCCAGCCUGCCUGCCCACCCCCUGGCCCUGCACCCCACCCCACUGGCCCUCCUGGGCCCAUCCCUGUCCCCGCGCCACCCCAGAUUGCCACCUCCACCAGCCUCCUGGCUGCCCAGUCACUUGUGCCACCCCCUGGGCUGCCUGGCUCCAGCACCCCAGGAGUUUUGCCUUACUUCCCACCUGGCCUGCCGCCCCCAGACGCCGGGGGAGCCCCUCAGUCUUCCAUGUCAGAGUCACCUGAUGUCAACCUUGUGACCCAGCAGCUAUCUAAGUCACAGGUGGAGGACCCCCUGCCCCCUGUGUUCUCAGGCACACCAAAGGGCAGUGGGGCUGGCUACGGUGUUGGCUUUGACCUGGAGGAAUUCUUAAACCAGUCUUUCGACAUGGGCGUGGCUGAUGGGCCACAGGAUGGCCAGGCAGAUUCAGCCUCUCUCUCAGCCUCCCUGCUUGCUGACUGGCUCGAAGGCCAUGGCAUGAACCCUGCCGAUAUUGAGUCCCUGCAGCGUGAGAUCCAGAUGGACUCCCCAAUGCUGCUGGCUGACCUGCCUGACCUCCAGGACCCCUGAGGCCCACAGCCUGUGCCUUGCUGCCACAGUAGACCUAGUUCCAGGAUCCAUGGGAGCAUUCUCAAAGGCUUUAGCCCUGGACCCAGCAGGAUCUUACUCUGUCGCCCAGACUGGAGUGCAGUGGUGUGAUCAUGGCUUCCUGCAGCCUCACCCUCCCGGGCUCAAGCAAUCCUCCGUCCUUGGCCUCCCAAAGUGCUGGGAUUAUCGGCAUGAGCCACUGAGCCUGGCCCUGUGUUAAUUCUUUUGUAAAAGUUUGGUAGAAUUCUUCAGGGAAAUCACGUGGGGCUGGAGUUUUUUUUUUUUUUUUCCUGAGAAAUAUUGUGAUACAUCUUUUAGGCCUCCAUGGUUUUUCAAGAGAUGUUUGUUGUCAUUUAAAUUGCUUUCCCCCUGUAAAUAAAGCAUUUUUGCCUAGGUGCUUUAUAUAUUAUUUUCUUAGUUUUUAGUUUUCAGAAAUUUAUAAUGUGUUUUGCCAUGAAUUUUUGGGAGUUAUCCUGAUUAGGAUUUGGUCACUCCUUUUUUUUUUUUUUGAGACUGAGUCUUGCUCUGUCGCCCAGGCUGGAAGUGUAGUGGCACAGUCUCGGCUCACUGCAAGCUCUGCCUCCCGGGUUCACACCAUUCUCCUGCCUCAGCCUCCUGAGUAGCCAGGACUACAGGCACCUGCCACCACGCCCAGCUAAUUUUUUGUAUUUUUAGUAGAGACGGGGUUUCACCGUGUUAGCCAGGAUGGUCUCGAUCUCCUGACCUCAUGAUCCGUCCGCCUCGGCCUUCCAAAGUGCUGGGAUUACAGGCGUGAGCCACCGAGCCCGGCUUGCUCACCUUUUUAAUCUGUUGUUGGCUUAUGUCUCUUGUCAAAUUUGGGGAGUUUUCAGCCAUUAUUGAUUUGAGUACUUCUUUUUGCCUCACGCUCCUUCUUUCCUCUAAGGACUCCAGUGACACAAAUGUUAGAUCUUUGUUGUACGAUAGUUCCCCAGGUCCAUGAGUCUGUUCAUAUUUUUUCCAGUCUUUUUUCUCUCUGUUGUCAGAUUAGGUAGUUCUGUUGUUUUGUCUUGGAAUUCACUGAUUGUUCCCUCUGUCCUCUCCAUUCUGCUCUUGAGCCCAUCCACUGAGGUUUUUAUUUUGAUUAUUGUAUUUUUUGGUUUUAAAGUUUCCAUUUGGUUCUUUAUAGCUCCUUCUUUUUUUUUUCUUUUACUUUUUUUUUUUUUUUGCUGAGGCUUUCUAUGUUUUCAUUUGUUUCGAGUGUGUUUGCAGUUGCUCAUUGAAGCAUUUUAUCACAGCCAUUUUAAACCUUUGUCAGCUAAUCCUGACAUCCCAGUCAUCUCAGUCUUGGCAUCUAUCAGUUAUCCUUUGUCAUUCAGUUUGAGAUUUGCUGGUUCUUUAUAUGAUUAAUACUUUUUUAUUGAAACGUGGACAUUUUGUAUUAUGUUAUGAAAUGCUGGGUCUUAUUUAAACCUGUUUUUUGUUUGUUUGUUUGUUUUUUUGAGACUGAGUCUUGCUCUGUCACCCAGGCUGGAGUGCAGUGGCGUAAUCUUGGCUCACUGCAACCUCCACCUCCCAGGUUCAAACGAUUCUCCUGCCUCAGCCUCCCGAGUAGUUGGGACUACAGAGACAUGCUACCAUGCCUGGCUAAAUUUUGUAUUUUUAUUAGAUUGGUGCAAAAGUAAUUGUGACUUUGCCAUUAAUGGCAAAAACACUUACUUUUGCAUCAACCUGAUAGUAGAGAUGGGCUUUCACCAUGUUGCCCAGGCUGGUCCGGAACUCCUGGCCUCAAGUGAUUCACCCACCUUGCCUUCCCUAAGUGUUGGGAUUACAGGUGUUGGCCACCACACCCAGCCUAAACUUGUUUUAGCUGGCCUCUGACACCCCUCUGGCCGGGAAAGGGGUGGCACUGCCUCAGUACCGCCAGGUGGGGGUAGAAGUCCAGGUUCCUCCGUUUGCUUCUGUUUACACUUAAGAGGGGGAUUCCCUGUUACUGUUGGACAGGGUGCAAGUUUCAGCUCCCCACGUGGUCUCCACUAACACUGCAAGGUCAGGGAGAGCACCUGUAAUGUCUGGGAUGCAAGUCCUGGCUCCCUACUUGGCCUUCUCUGUUACCACCCAGCUGGGGAUGUUGGGACCCCUCGUUACUGCCUAGUCAGGAGGAGGUCUAGGCUCCCCAUUCAGCCUUUGUGGCAUGGGUGGGUGGGGCUGCAUACUUUCCUGUGGCGUUUGGCUGCAGUAGGGUAUUUAUUGCCUAGGAAUUUUCUGUCUUGCCAGGCCGCCCUUUUCCUGGUCCUUUGGCUACAGAUAGCAGGUUUUGUUGAGGGUUUUUUUUUGUAGUGGCUGUUGGCAUUUCCAGACUGCCAGCUUCUCCAGUACCCAUUCUGGGAUAAUGAGACAAAAAGAAAGCCUAGGAGAGUCGCCACUGUCCUCAGUCCUGAUGUCCCUGGCCCGCCUGCCUUCUUUUCUCCACCUUUCAGAGUCUUCUUAUGUUUGUCUUGUACAUGAUGUCCCAGGUUUUUAGUUGUACUUAGCAGGAAGUACAGGAAAAAAUAUACCUACUCCAUCUUCCCACAAGUGGAAGUUCCUUAAAAAGAAUUAUGAGGCCUAAGUUACAUAGAGUGACGUAGACCAGUCUUUACAAACGUGUACCUGGGAACUACCACCCAGAUUCCUAGCAUCACAGCAGGCUUCCUGUGAGGAGUGACACAUUUUUAUUUGCAUCUGUAAAAAAUUGGGCUGGCUGCCAGGUGGAAAAUGGAUUGGUGGGAGGCAGGGGAGGGACUGAUGGCCUGAGUGUUCUCAGACACCAUCAUCUGUCCCUGAUGGCUCCUGUGGGUGGGGUGGGGUGGCCUGGGCUCCAUGGGUCACCUCCCUCCUCUUUGGCACUGGGUCAUCAGUCAGGGUCAAGCAGUCCAGGGCUGCCUGAUGUGGGUGGGGAACCUCUGCUCUUUCUGGCAUCAGACUCAUUGUCAGGAAGCAGAAGCACAUUUCAGUUUUUGUACACCCUCUUUCCUGACCUCUGGGGUCAGCUGUUAAUUUCCUGUUGCCUAACUGUACUCCACAUUCAUUUUGUCAGCAAACAUGCUGUAUUAUGGAUUGCUAAGGACAUGACUGCUGUGGCUGCUUUGCUCUGCCCGGCCCUGGAUUAUGGUGUGGUGAUAGGGAGAGCAAAUGGGGUUAGAGAGAGAGGAAGAAGAAACACCGUGUGUCUGCAAGAGAAAGAGACAGAGAGAAACAAAUGGUAGAGACUAGAUAGGAGAUAGGCUUGGCUGCAGGUCACUUGGAUAGCCUCAGUUUCCUCGUCUGUAAAAUGGAGCCAAUAUUUUCACCUUUAGAGAAAUGUGGGGAGGAUGGGAGAUUCUGUUGUUAGAAGGACUCAGCAUAUAGUAGGAGUCCAGUAAAUAGACAUGAUCAUUAUUAUCAUUGUAAUAAACUAAUGGAAAACUACUUCUUUAUCCAUUGGAUGUCUGUCCUCAGGCCUACUGUGUAAAAAGCCCUUCUUCUGUAAGAAUCUCUUGGAUUUUCCUUUGACAAAGAAAAAGAGGCGAGGCCUUGUGGGGGUUGGUCUGAGAUCCAAGAUGGGGCAGGACUGAUGCUUGGGGACAUCUGGGCACACUGAGGUAAGUGGCCCAGACUUGCUUCCAAGGCUGAUUAACAGGGUAGCAUUGGCUGGGCCCGGUGGCUCACGCCUGUAAUCCCAACACUUUGGGAGGCCGAGGUGAGCGGAUCACAAGGUCAGGAGUUCGAGACCAUCCUGGCCAACAUAGUAAAACCCCGUCUCCACUAAAAACACAAAAAUUAGCUGGGUGUGGUGGCGUGUGCCUGUAAUCCCAGCUACUUGGGAAGCCGAGGCAGGAGAAUCACUUGAACCAGAGGGUCGGAGGUUGCAGUGAGCCAAGAUGGUGCCACUGCACUCUAGCCUGGCAACAGAGCAAGACUCCGUCCCCCAAAAAAAAACAAAAAACAAAAAACCAGGCUAGCAUUUAUUGAGCACCUACUAUUCACCAGGCUUUCUGCACUGACCCUACAUGGGAGUAAUUGUAUCUUCAGUUUUACCACUGAGGAAACUGAGCUUGAGUGAGAGAAGUGACUUUGCCUAGUGAGUUGAGUGGAACCAGUAUUUGAACCAAGGCCUGUUUGGUGCCAAAGCCUGGGUGCUGCCCAGGACGCACAUAACCUUGCCAGUCAGGUUGAAGGAUGGCAUAGGUCGGUGGGCCAACAGAGGCUUACAUGCAGAGGCCUGGACUGCAGCAGGCCUCUGGCUCCGUUUUCUGCCUAUCAAACCAGCUGCAUGGGGCUGCCUCUCACUCCAGAGCAUAGUCUGUGGAGGGAAGUUUGCUCCACAAGGGCCAGCUGGCCACAUCUGUCAACUUCCUGGCUGACUGCCUGGAUACUCCAGUCCCAGGGUCCUAAUGGGCAGUAUGCAAGUUGGAAUGGGGGUGGUACAGCAGAGGAGAGGGGUCUGGAGCCUGGUCUCGAUUCUGACUUGGAGGAGGGGAGAUGAUACCUAAUGGUAGGUUGGCUGCCAGCAGCCAGGGACUGCUAGCCAGUGUGGACAUCCAGAUGCUCGAUGAGCAUCUGAAAAUUCUCCUACAAGGCCAGGCACGGUGGCUCACGCCUGUAAUUCCAGCACUUUGGGAGGCCGAGGUCGGUGGAUCACCUGAGGUCAGGAGUUUGAGACCAGCCUGGCCAACAUGGUGAAACCCCGUCUCUACUAAAAAUACAAAAAGUUAUUUGGGCUUGGUGGCAGGCGCCUGUAAUCCCAGCUAUUUGGGAGGCUGAGGCAGGAGAAUUGCUUGAACCUGCGAAUCAGAGGUUGCAGUAAGCCAAGAUAGUGCCACUGCACUCCAGCCUGGCGACAGAGCAAGACUCCAUCUCAAAAAAAUAAAAUAAAAUUGGCUGGGUGCAGUGGUUCACACCUGUAAUCCCAGCACUUUGGGAGGCCGAGGCGGGUGGAUCACGAGAUCAGGAGUUCGAGACCAGCCUCUCCAACAUGGUAAAACCCCAUAUCUACUAAAAAUACAAAAAUUAGCUGGGCGUGGUGGUGCGCGCCUGUAAUGCCAGCUACUCAGGAGGCUAAGGCAGGAGAAUCACUUGAAUCCGGGAGGCGGAGGUUGCAGUGAGCCAAGAUCCUGCCACUGCACUCCAGCCUGGGUGACAGAGCGAGACUCCAUCUCAAAAAAUAAAAAUAAAUAAAUAAAUAAAUAAAUAAAAAUAAAGUAAAGCUGUUUUUGACAUGGCAGAUAGAUAACCGAAAAACUCCCUGCAUAAGAGACAAAAAUCAUCCUUUAACAUUUGUAGCCAAAAUCAGCAAAGAUCAAUAUGUAUGAUUUUGCUCUGUGUUGGUGAAGAUAUCCUUAAAUUAUACUUACCCAAGUGGAAACAGGAUGAGAAUAGUAAUAUGUGCUACAGUGCUAUUUGUUAUAGCAAAAUGUUAGCAAUGCUCUAGAUGUCUGUCACUAGAGGCCUAGCUCGAGGAUGGGGUCAGUACUCAAAAGCGCCUAAUGCAAAGUGGCUGUUGAAAGUAGGAAGGUGUCUCCUCCAGUCUGUCCCGGUGGACGCUCAGAGUAAUGGUUCAAGAACACAAAUCUGUUCACAUGUAUCCCUGCUUAAAAUAGUUUAUGGCUCCACUGACAUGCAGCGAAAAUCCAAAAAUCUGCCACAUGGCCCUCCAUCCUCUGUUCCCUGCUGACUGACCUUGGUCCCCUUACCCUGCCUCUAUCCUUCCUUCUUGCCAGCCCUCACCCUGUGCUCCAGCUGCACCCACACUGAACCUGCCCUGCCAACUCACUGCCAGGCCUUUGCACGUGCUGUCCCCUGUGUCUGUAGUCCCAGCCCCCAACAACGUUUACCCUGCUAACUCCCUUAUCCUGCAAGACUGAGCCUUGCUGACUCCCAAGUCUGAGUGAGGGGCUUCCUCCAGGCUCCCACAUUUCCCUGGGCAGCUCCUAUACAGCAGGGGAUGUGCUGCAAGGCAGCUGCUUCCUUGUUUGCACAUAGUCUUUGAGCUCCUCAGGGCAGGGACCUGUCAAAAGACAAAAUGACAAUAAAUUUAGUUUAAAGACCUAAUUGGCUUUUAUUUGAAAUUUUAGAAUUGGGCAACACCUCAUUCUUAUAAAACAAUGAUUAUUUGACGAGCUGAAUAGAGGAGAUUGGCUUUACAGGCAGAAAGGGCUGAAGUAAGCAGACAGAACAAAAAGCAGACUGAUUUCAAAGUUACUUUCCUUGUAAAAGUUAAAGCAGAGGGGACUUCCUAUCAUGCUGGCUAAAAGUGGCCUGUUUGGGGAUUUGGCUAUUAUCUCUUUGUGUCCUGAUUUCUUGGAAGAUCAGAUAAACAAUUUAGUUUUGGCUUUGUAGCAUGGAACUUCGGCAUGAGUGAAUCCAUUUUGGUUUGAUCUGUUGGAGCUUAUCCAGGAGCUCAAUCCAGACCAAUAACCUCCUAUAAAUCUUAUUUAACAGACCACAUCUUGUUAUUUGUUGUAGUCUCUGCAUCCAGCAUCACUCUGGGUACAUGCUUGGUAUAUAGGAGGCAUUUCAUAAGUUUGAAGAGCAAAGGGGAGGAGAGAGAAGGAUGAGGAAGGGUUCCCUGUAGAAACUCUGAGCCAACCUGGGCCUGGGUGAUGGGUUUCAUGAAGGCAGACAGAGACUGGCAAGGGCGUUCCAGGCAAGGAGAGUGGCUGGGGCAAAGGUGUGGAGGUGUGAAUGUUGGGAGAACACAGCACACAGCAGGCCAGAAAGGAGGGGACGGCCCGGGAUUGGGAGUCAGGGCAUUUUAUUUCUUCCAGGGCUGUCAUUGGAAGGUUUCCUUAGCUCUCUAAACCUCAGUUUCCUCAUUCAGAAAGCAGGGCUAAUAGUCACUGUAUUAUGAGAAUCAGUUGAGGUAGUAGGGCACAUAACAACACAUUGUGAACCCUAAAUUGCUAAGCAAAUGUUGGAUAAUUGUACUAUUAUUAGUUGUUUCAGGAUGCCUAGUACCAGAUUGAUGAUGGGGGGGCUUCAGAAGUAAAGCUGGGGAGCUCUGACUUCCUUCCAGCUGCUGAUGGGAAGGCCUGGCCUUUGAUGCUCACACAAGGGGACCUGGCACAGACACAGCUGUGGCGAGAGCAAGGAGGGCCACUGGGCCUGGGGGACAGGAGGAGGGCAGCCACAGGGAGCAGAUGCUGCUGCAGCUUGGGGCCAGGGUCAGGACCCGGAUGGGGAAGGCAGCCAUGUUGGCAUGGACACCAGCUCACCACAGCCAGCAGCACCCAGAGGCCAUUGGUUCAGCAGGACAGCAGGUGUCCCAAGCCCUGCAAGAAAGCAACGUACAGGCAUGGACUAAGGGAUGACACCAAGGGAGGGCUUACACACCUCUCCGUGACUGGCCCAUCACCCUUACCUCUCCUCGCUUCACAUGCUGCAUUCCAGGUGAGCUGUUUAUCUUGCAGCUCUGUGUCUUUGCAUGAGCUGGUCUCUUUGCCGCACAUGUUGUUUGCCUGUCCCCAUUCCUUUGCCUGUCCACCUCAUAUUCAUCCUUCAGAUGCAGCUUUUGUGGGAAGCCUUCCUAGGUGCCCAGGUCUGAGCAAGGUGCCUUUGCUUGUUCCUCGUGCAUCUCUCCUCACUCUACCUAAUCAGAGAACUUAUCACCCCGUACUUGUUUAUUGGCCUUUCUGUCUCCCCAGUAGACGGGAAGCACCCUGAGGGCUCAUCAGUCUACUCUCAGAGCCUAGUAUGAUGUCUGGUGUAUUGCUCAAUAAAUGUUUGUAACAUGGACAGAUGGAUGAAUCCAUGCACGGAUGGAUAAGUGUAAGAGUAGAUGGUGGAUGAGUAGAUACACAGAUAGUGGAGGAGUGAUGGAUGAAAAGAUGUGUGUAUGUGUGGGUGGAUGGAUGGAGCAAAUCAUGCAUGUGUGCAUGCGUGGAUUGGUAGUUGGAGAAUGGAUGGAUGAAAGAAUAUAAGAAAUGAGGUCAGGUGUGGUGGCUCAUAUCUAUAAUCCCAGCACUUUGGGAGGUGGAGGUGGGCAGAUCACUUGAGGUCAGAAGUUCAAGACCAGCCUGGCCAACAUGGUGAAAACCCAUCUCUACUAAAAAUACAAAAGUUUCUACUAAAAAUACAAAAAAAUUAGCCAGGUGUGGUGGCGCACAGUUGUAAUCCCAGGUACCCGGGAGGCUGAGGCAGGAGAAUUGCCUGAACCCAGGAGAUGGAGGUUGCAGUGAGCCGAGAUUGUGCCACUGCACUGCCGCCUGGGUGAUAGAGCAAGACUCUGUCUCAAAAAAAAAAAAAAAAAGAAAGAAAUGAAUGGUGGAUACAUAGAUGAAUUAAUGGAUGGAUAAUGAGUGCAUGGGUGAUUGAGUGAGUGGAUGGAUAAAUAGGUAGAUAAUGCAUUUAUCUUGAUGGAUAAAUAGGUAGAUAAUCAGUGCAUGCAUGGAUAGAUGGUUGGAGGAAUGGAGAAUGAAUGAAUGCAUGGAUGGGUGAGUGGGCGGAAGAUGAACAAGAUGGUGACUGUGUCUUCCAAAGUUCAAGUGCUGGAAACUUAAUCCUCAAUGCAAUGGUUUGAGAGAUGGGACAUUUAAGAGGUGAUUAAAGGUCACCUCAGGAAUGGAUUAAUGCUGUCACCUCGGGAAUGAGUUCUUUUAUAAAAGGAUGAGUUUGGUCCCCUUUCCUCUCUCUCUUGUCCCUGUAAUGGCUUCUGCCAUGUGAUGACACAGCAGUAAGACCCUCAUCAGAUGCAGCCCUUUGUUCUUAGACUUCCCAGCCUCCAGAACCUUGAGCCAAAUACAUUUCUGCUCAUUAUAAAUUACCCAGUCUGUGGUUAUUGCAGCAGAAACAGGCUAAGACCCAGUGCUUACCAGGGCAAUGCCCACAGUGCCAGGCUUCAUGAAGGCCAGCUCCCAGGCUAAGAGGUGGGAGAGGACUGGGGGCGUUCCACCCAAAGGGACCUCUGAUCUCAUUGGCCCCCCGCCGACAUUCACACAUCAGGAAACAGGCCCAGAGAAGAUCAGGGAUUUGCCUGAGGUCACACAGCAAGCUGGGGUCAGAACCAGUCAGAACUCAGUUGCCUGUUUCCAAUAUUCUGCAUAGAUAGAGGCUGGACUGAUUUUUAUCCCCUUCUGAGGAAAGUGAUGGCAAACUGAGACACAGCAAAACUACAAACUCUUUCCAAGGCUUGUUGUAAUAACUAACUUUAUUUCUGCCACCAAACAGACCAUGGAAUGUAGUGGCUAAGAGCUUGGAUUGGGGAGCCUGAUGGCUUGGGUUUGGAUUCCAGCUCUGCCAUUAAUAGCUGUGUGGUGUUAGACAAGUGACUUAACCUCUCUGUGCUUCAGUUCCCUCAUCUAUACAAUGGAAGUGAUAUAGUACCUCCCUCAUAGGUUGUGUUACUCGGAGUGAGCUUAUCACAUAAAGUGCUUGGAACAGCGCCUGUUGGGUAAGGAUGUAUGAUGUGUGCGUGUGCGUGUAAGGCAGUAAGAGUGAGCCCGUGUGUAAAUGUCCAUGAGCAUGAGGCCUGAAGGUACACACAUAUUUGUGUGUGAGUAUGAAGGAGUGAGCAUGUGAAUGGAUGUGGAUGUGCAAGUGCGGUUGUGAGGGUGUAACUGUGUAUGCAUGUUUGUGUGUGUGUGUGAGCACUGUGGGUCUAUAUUGGGCAAGGUGGAGUCGUGGAUGUGCAUGUGGCACAAGUGUGUGAGCACAGAGUGUGGGAUACAUGGAGUAUUUUGACCAUAUGUGUAUGGUAUGUGUGAGGAUUUACAUGGAAUGGUAUGUUGGGGGAGGGCUGACCAGGUGUGUGCAUGCAUGCAUGUGUGUGUGCGUGUGCGUUUGUGUGUGAAGCUGGCUCUUGCAUACAUCAAGGGACUCAGAAACCUCCCCAAACAGGGUUCCAGUCUGGAAAACUGUAUUUUUGACUCCUGAGG
Gorilla gorilla gorilla (western lowland gorilla) is the source of this 12483-nucleotide RNA transcript. It is a transcript of the gene named mitogen-activated protein kinase 7, with no coding region annotated. The transcript is spliced from 9 exons. The record is from RefSeq and is a predicted model, not a curated record. NCBI's taxonomy places the organism in Eukaryota, Metazoa, Chordata, Mammalia, Primates, Hominidae.